Non-coding RNA from Myodes glareolus (Bank vole), 2403 nucleotides. The record is from RefSeq and is a predicted model, not a curated record. NCBI's taxonomy places the organism in Eukaryota, Metazoa, Chordata, Mammalia, Rodentia, Cricetidae.
GCCAGUGCUCUCCUCACAUUUGUGAGACUGAGCCCUGGCUAAGCUCUGAGAAAGCCAUGAGGAGCUAGAUCUUGAGGGAGCUGAGCAGGUGCUCAAAUGGUUGAUAUCUAGUCUCAGUACACCAUGCCCGUCUUGCUUCUCUCUGUAUCUGCUGGAAACUCCUGACUCCACCCUUCUUCCUCCCAGCAGUCUGAGUUUGGCUCUCCUGCCUAACCUUGUCCUGUUCAGGUAUUGGCCAGUCAUCUUCAUUAUUUAACCAAUCAGAGUCAUACAUAUUCAUGGUGUAUACAAGGAUUAUUCGACAGCAUUUCACCAUUAUUGUCUAAGGAAAAAGAAGAAGUCUAUAAAGAUGGUAGCAGUGGGAAAAGAGAAGAUCAUUUCAGUGUCCAGAGGACACACCAGUCCUAUACUCAGGAUGUCCAUGGACUGCUCCUUGGAAAAGUAAUACACAGAAAUAGCCUGGGGUUGGAAUCAGGGUGGGCCCAUGUCUUGCUUGGGAAAGCAAAGAAGACAGGAUUCCUUUAUAUCUACAACAGCUGCCUCAGACACCACACGGAAGCUUCAUAACACAAUGAAAGGUCAAAAGAAAAAAGGACAUGGGAAAGCAAAAACAGCUAUGUCAGACAGAAGAUCAGAGAUGUCAACUCUUGCCACAAAGGAGUCCUGCAAACAAAAUGACACAGGGAAGGAGGUGCAUGAUGAUAGUAUUUGUUUGGCAAAAAAAGCUCUACAAGCCAGCAGCAUUAGGACUGCCGUGGAUGGCUCGGCAGGGGAUGCCCCUGACCACAACUCCAAAAAGAACAAAGGACAAAGAGAAAGAAAACUGGAAAAUGUCAUGAUCAAUCCAGAAGACAUCAUUCUUAUCUCCAGUGUUGACUCUCCAGGGGGUGGCCCUGAGCAGAGACCCAUAAACAACAGUGGGCCAAGAAAAAGGAAACUGGAGAAUGUCCUGACCGAUCCAGAAGACAACAUCAUUCUUAUCUCCAGUGAUGACGCUCCAGGGGAUGGCCCUGAACAGCAGGCCAAGAGCAAGAAAGUCCAGAAGACAAAGUCACAGGCGGAUGUCAAAGCAGAUACCCAGGAAAGCAGACUGCAGGCCUCAGGCACAUUCACCUCUGAAGCCACCCUUGGAGUUGCCUCAGAGCUGAAGUUCCCCAGGAGGAAGAAGAGGAACAUAUGGACUGUGGACCAUAUCGAGGGAACAAAACUCACAGUAAAAAAGAGAAGACUCAGUUACCGGCCUGAGGAUCUUGAAGCCUUCUACCAAAUUCUGGAGGAUCCUGUGGUCCAGAAUUUUUUGGCAGCUGACAUUUUCUUCAGGGUGACCGACAAGUACCUGCUGUCCAUGGUGGUGGAGUACUUUGGCCGACUCGGGCUGCCUGGACAUCUCUACAACAGGAUCCACUUCUUCCUGGCCCUCUACAUCGCCUGUGACAUGGAAGAGGAUGACCCCAUAUCCAAGAGGAGCAUCUUUCAAUUCCUGCUGGGCACAGACACAUGGCAGGACUUAUACAAGGACUUCCAAAGGCUGCAGGGGGAGUUCCUCCAAGUCAUAGAUUACCGAGCCUGGCUCACACGACAGGAGUGUGAAGAGAUCCAGAACCAGAACCCACACCACUGGGUCUGGAGCCGGGUGCGACAGAGCGCCCCUUAGGUUCCCAGGCCUGGGGACCAUCAGCAGGUUAGUGGAGGUCCUGGCCAGGGGCUCCACAUGCAGGGACUAGCCAGGGUUCCUGAAGCUGUAAUCUGGUCAUUUGUGGACAUAACAAGGAGCUCUGCUGCCACCUAUCUUGGAGUUUUCUCUUAGAGGGCAACAUGUGGGCAUGUGAGCACUGCUGAGUUGCAGAAAGUGCUUAAAUUCCAAUUCUCCAACUGGAUUGCAUCACAGGACCACGCAAUUCAUGACCUCCUGCUCACCCCUGCCAUUUCCUCCCCUCCACAAGACACAAGAGCUUUUCCCUACGAUACAAGUACCUGCAGAAUUCCACAUUCCACUCCAGGCUCUCCUUAUACCUUCAGGAUGAAGGAUCCAGGAAGAGGAUGUACAAUGUGAAGCUGGUCAACAACACCUCCAACGGAGCUCAGGCUUCAGGACGGUAGCCUACAGAGGGCUGGCUCUACCUGGACUAUCCUUCACUGGAUUCCAAAACAACAUUAUCUUCAGGGAUUGAGGACAGAACGCCACAAUAUCACACAAAGUUCAGGAGUCCUGGACCAGAGGAGGAAGAACUCAAGCCAGUCCAGGUUCUGAGCUGUAGCAGGGGACCUGGAACACAGAAGUGACUGAAGUCAGAGGAUAAGGCCAGGUCUGCCUAAUCAGCAAGCCCUGUCUGAAGGCGUAAGUCACAAACAAUCCCACACCAGUUUGGAAUUAUGAUUAAUAGAAUGGUUAUUUAUUCAAAG